CAGAGUUCAUGCCCGAAAGGGUAGACCUCCAUCCGUGCCUAUCCAACUGUGUUGCUUUGGCGGUUGCCCCCAACCGCCAGAGGCCCAAACCCUGAUAAUUAGUGUCGUCCGAGUACUAUACAAUAGUUA
RNAcentral lists this unclassified non-coding RNA (129 nucleotides) under uncultured Helotiales. RNAcentral's name for it is "sequence contains ITS1". The record is from RNAcentral. Lineage: Eukaryota; Fungi; Ascomycota; Leotiomycetes; Helotiales.